CCUACGGGAGGCAGCAGUGGGGAAUUUUGGACAAUGGGCGAAAGCCUGAUCCAGCCAUGCCGCGUGAGUGAAGAAGGCCUUCGGGUUGUAAAGCUCUUUCGGCCGGGACGAAAUCGCACGAGUGAAUAUCGCGUGUGGAUGACGGUACCGGCAGAAGAAGGACCGGCUAACUACGUGCCAGCAGCCGCGGUAAUACGUAGGGUCCGAGCGUUAAUCGGAAUUACUGGGCGUAAAGCGUGCGCAGGUGGUUUUGUAAGCCAGAUGUGAAAGCCCCGGGCUUAACCUGGGAACUGCAUUUGGGACUGCAAGGCUAGAGUACGGCAGAGGGGGGUAGAAUUCCUGGUGUAGCAGUGAAAUGCGUAGAUAUCAGGAGGAAUACCGAUGGCGAAGGCAGCCCCCUGGGUCGAUACUGACGCUCAUGCACGAAAGCGUGGGGAGCAAACAGGAUUAGAUACCCUGGUAGUCCACGCCCUAAACGAUGUCAACUAGUGUUGGGGGCCUUACCGCCCUUAGUAACGCAGCUAACGCGUGAAGUUGACCGCCUGGGGAUACGGUCGCAAAGAUUAAAACUCAAAANAGAGUAGACGCGUGAGAGNGCCGAAGGACGACGACGAGGGAGGAGG
This 623-nucleotide ribosomal RNA is filed under the name uncultured bacterium. RNAcentral's name for it is "bacterial SSU rRNA". It matches the Rfam family "Bacterial small subunit ribosomal RNA", at positions 338 to 957 of the family's 1533-position model. The record is from RNAcentral.